GGUUAAAAAGCUCGUAGUUGGAUUUCUGUCGAGGGCGGGCGGUCCGCACUAUGUGCGUGUAUCUUGUUCGGUCUUGGCAUCCUUUUGGGGAAUGCUUCUGUGCUUGAUUGCAUGGGGUGGAAUUCAAGACUUUUACUUUGAGGAAAUUAGAGUGUUCACGGCAAGCUACCGCUUUGAAUACAUUAGCAUGGAAUAAUGAUAUAGGGCGUAAGUUCUAUUUUGUUGGCUUCUAGGACAUACGCAAUGAUUAAUAGGGACAAUUGGGGGCAUUCGUAUUAACGCGUCAGAGGUGGAAUUCUUAGAUUGCGUUACGACGAACUACUGCGAAAGCAUUUGCCAAAGAUGUUUUCAUUGAUCAAGAACGAAAGUAUGGGGAUCGAAGACGAUUAGAUACCGUCGUAGUCUAUACCAUAAACUAUGCCAAUUAGAGAUUGGGCGUCGUUCGUUUUAUGACUCGCUCAGCACCUUAUGAGAAAUCAAAAUUUUUGGGUUCCGGGGGGAGUAUGGUCGCAAGUCUGAAACUUAAAGGAAUUGACGGAAGGGCACCACCAGGAGUGGAGCCUGCGGCUUAAUUUGACUCAACACGGGAAAACUUACCAGGUCCAGACAUAGUAAGGAUUGACAGAUUGAU
This 631-nucleotide ribosomal RNA is filed under the name uncultured marine eukaryote. RNAcentral's name for it is "SSU rRNA". It matches the Rfam family "Eukaryotic small subunit ribosomal RNA", at positions 617 to 1252 of the family's 1831-position model. The record is from RNAcentral.